Sitophilus oryzae (rice weevil) is the source of this 651-nucleotide long non-coding RNA. RefSeq lists it as uncharacterized. NCBI's taxonomy places the organism in Eukaryota, Metazoa, Arthropoda, Insecta, Coleoptera, Curculionidae. The transcript has 3 exons. The record is from RefSeq and is a predicted model, not a curated record.
CAAUCGCAGCAGCCUUUGGCAGCGUCGAUUGCCAACCCGCGAGCCGCCUCUCGGAAACUUUACCAAGUUUUUACCGACGCGAAAUAUUUUGAAUUUUCUGCGUAAAGUAUUGGACGUUUGUGCGUUUGCUUUCACGUGGAUUUGACAUUAAAAUACGAAGAAAAAGACAAUUAUAAAAACUAUUUAUUAGUUGUUUUGUUUAUAAGGACCGAGAAACUUGACAGUGCGUUUGUGUUUUUUUGAUUGUUUAUCGAAAGUGACACAUAUGUGACAUAGUUUUCGGUGGUUUGGUGAUAGUGAUAAUACAUAUUUUUGGUAGUUUUUGAACGAGAUACUUGAAAGAAAAUAAUCAAAAAACAUGAUUGGAGCUAGAUUAUUGUUAGGAUUCUUCAUUUCGGAGUUUCUUUUAAAAGUGGAAUUGUGUUUAAGUGACCGCAUUUUUCAAUUAAAUUGGGGUGAAUAUUGUGUAGAUGAAAAGAAUAUUUCCUAGCUGCACAAAAUGGAGAAAAACACUUAUAGUAAGGCAGCAAACAGUAUACUUUUAGGUAAGGGAGGAAAUAUUAUAAACCAAUAUAAUCAACUGGAAGUGUUUGGAUUAAAAUAGGGAUACCAAAAUUUGAAGAAAUGGUUGUAUUUAUAUCAAAAAUAUGA